This 468-nucleotide ribosomal RNA is filed under the name uncultured bacterium. RNAcentral describes it as "partial 16S ribosomal RNA". It matches the Rfam family "Bacterial small subunit ribosomal RNA", at positions 28 to 507 of the family's 1533-position model. The record is from RNAcentral.
GACGAACGCUGGCGGCGUGCUUAACACAUGCAAGUCGAACGGAAAGGCCCUGCUUUUGUGGGGUGCUCGAGUGGCGAACGGGUGAGUAACACGUGAGUAACCUGCCCUUGACUUUGGGAUAACUUCAGGAAACUGGGGCUAAUACCGGAUAGGAGCUCCUGCUGCAUGGUGGGGGUUGGAAAGUUUCGGCGGUUGGGGAUGGACUCGCGGCUUAUCAGCUUGUUGGUGGGGUAGUGGCUUACCAAGGCUUUGACGGGUAGCCGGACUGAGAGGGUGACCGGCCACAUUGGGACUGAGAUGCGGCCCAGACUCCUACGGGAGGCAGCAGUGGGGAAUAUUGCACGAUGGGCGGAAGCCUGAUGCAGCAACGCCGCGUGCGGGAUGACGGCCGUCGGGUUGUAAACCGCUUUCGCCUGUGACGAAGCGUGAGUGACGGUAAUGGGUAAAGAAGCACCGGCUAACUACGUG